AAAUUAGUUAAGACAUGUUAAAAUCUAAAUUCCUUAAACUUGUCAUGUGUCAUGAUCUCGUGAGUUAGUAACUAUCAAAAUCGUACUUUAUAUAAUAAGAUACGGCAUUUUAAGUAAUGACUCCAAUAUAAUCAUCGAAUUAUGUAAAAUAACUCGAUUUCCAAGGCAACUAUGAUUUAUGGAGUUAUCUAAA
This 193-nucleotide small RNA is filed under the name Arabidopsis thaliana (thale cress). RNAcentral's name for it is "ATSL045350". Lineage: Eukaryota; Viridiplantae; Streptophyta; Magnoliopsida; Brassicales; Brassicaceae. The record is from RNAcentral.